This 324-nucleotide ribosomal RNA is filed under the name uncultured eukaryote. RNAcentral's name for it is "partial 18S ribosomal RNA". It matches the Rfam family "Eukaryotic small subunit ribosomal RNA", at positions 1470 to 1796 of the family's 1831-position model. The record is from RNAcentral.
CCCUUAGAUGUUCUGGGCCGCACGCGCGCUACACUGAUGCAUUCAACGAGCACCCGCUAGGCCGAGAGGUCCGGCUAAUCUUUGAACGUGCAUCGUGCUGGGGAUAGAUGAUUGCAAUUAUUCAUCUUCAACGAGGAAUUCCUAGUAAACGCAAGUCAUCAGCUUGCAUUGAUUACGUCCCUGCCCUUUGUACACACCGCCCGUCGCACCUACCGAUUGAAUGGUCCGGUGAAAUUCUCGGACGCGGACUUGCGAUGUUAAUUCGGAGCUUGACUGUGAAAGUUAAUUAAACCUUACCAUUUAGAGGAAGGUGAAGUCGUAACA